Long non-coding RNA from Xiphias gladius (swordfish), 896 nucleotides. RefSeq lists it as uncharacterized. The record is from RefSeq and is a predicted model, not a curated record. Lineage: Eukaryota; Metazoa; Chordata; Actinopteri; Istiophoriformes; Xiphiidae. The transcript is spliced from 4 exons.
CUUGGCUGCUGAAACUACUAUAGAAAUAAGAGGAGGACCCACUUUUUUUUUUAAAUGGAAUUUGGGCUCGUCCAUUUUGGAUCCACAAACUCUCAGAGCCUUUCAACCCUGCAUCCUGCGUGAGGUCAGCACACUUCCUCACAGUGAGACCUCUGAACCCAUCACUGUCUCACUGUCCCCUCCGCCCUCCACUCACUCUUUCAACUGGAGCCACAGUUAGAGCGUGGGACUUGACUUCAUUGCUCUCUUGAAGAUUUUCCCACCCGAUUUGUCUGAAGGACGGCUGUGGUCUGGAAAAGCUCCACCCCACACCCCCAUCUCUUGGGACUCUGAUGGAGGAAUGCGGCAGGCUUUGGAAGACGACAAGCCUGGAGAUCCACGCCUUCCUCCCUCCCAACUCUCCCCAUCUGCUCGCCCUCUCCCACUCACGCACAGCUAAUCCCAGGAAUCCAUCAAGGCCUGUAUACGUGAAACACGAACCAGCUGCGGGAUGUUUCCAGUGGGUAGGCCCUCCUAUGGCUUUGGUCUCAAGUCUCAGCCUGGCUUCCGGAGAGGUCCUGUGCUACAUAUUCAGGUUGGACAAACCGCAAAGAUAUGGCCUUAUAUCCCUGGAGCCCCUGGCCUCUCCCUGUUUCUGUUAAGAAAACCCCUGUGCUGUGUAAUGGACCAUGGUGAGGUGAUAAUGGUCUGCACAAAUUAGUGGGCCACCGUGUCACAGUCCCAAUGCUCAAGUUUCUUCUAACACCCUGCCACAUGCAGCAUGCUAUAGGUAUCAUAUGAUAUAAUGUUUUCGCAGAGCCAAGACACUCCUUUAUCUUAGAGUUUCACAAAUUAACUUGGCAGCUUUGACCAGAGCCAAAUGUAGAUGUCUUAACUGUUGAGCUACGACGGCUUCU